This 477-nucleotide ribosomal RNA is filed under the name uncultured bacterium. RNAcentral's name for it is "bacterial SSU rRNA". It matches the Rfam family "Bacterial small subunit ribosomal RNA", at positions 29 to 531 of the family's 1533-position model. The record is from RNAcentral.
AACGAACGCUGGCGGCAUGCCUAACACAUGCAAGUCGAACGCUCGCAAGAGAGUGGCGGACGGGUGCGUAACACGUGGGAACCUGCCUUUGGGUACGGAACAACACCGGGAAACUGGUGCUAAUACCGUAUAAUGUCUACGGACCAAAGAUUUAUCGCCUGAAGAGGGGCCCGCGUUGGAUUAGCUUGUUGGUGAGGUAAAGGCUCACCAAGGCGAUGAUCCAUAGCUGGUCUGAGAGGAUGAUCAGCCACACUGGGACUGAGACACGGCCCAGACUCCUACGGGAGGCAGCAGUGGGGAAUAUUGGACAAUGGGCGGAAAGACCUGAUCCAGCCAUGCCGCGUGCAGGAUGACGGCCCUCUGGGUUGUAAACUGCUUUAGAUCGGGAAGAAAGUUAUAUAUGUAUAUGUAAUUGACGGUACCGGUAGAAUAAGCACCGGCUAACUCCGUGCCAGCAGCGCGGUAAGUGACGUCAGA